AUGCAUUUGUUUACAAAUUUUGAACAGCUCUCAAGCAGCUUUUUUCCCCCCGGUAAAUAUGAUUUUAAGAAAUAUUCUCCCGGAAGUCUCAAUUUUGAGAACAUUUCCUCUGGGGAUACAAACAAGAGAAAGGUUACAUUUCUGUGUAGUAAUAUCACCAGGCUUAUGCUGACCACAAAUGCUACUUUUCAAUAAGAAGCUUCUCCUGACUCCAAGCAAGGUAUGUUCUUACUCUGCCUUGGAUUCCUUUGUUUUCCUUUAGUUAUACUAGCACAUUUGGCUGCAGACAGGAAGAGGUUAUGUUCUUGUCUUCCCCAUUAUGUAUUUCUUCCUUAUUCAUCAUUUUUUUCCACCCACAAACUAAAAGUAUUCUUUGCACAGAGUAAGGAACAAUGACAACAAUAAUAAUAACAAAUGAUGAAUUGAAUUGUAUUUCUUAAAAGGAAGCUUGUUUUCCUGUUUUUAUAAAGUUUUAAGAUCCCAAAUAGUUGCCAAAAUUUGAGAACUUGUCUUUGUUGCUCAUCGUAUCAUUUCAUCAUUGUUUAUUUCUUAGCUGAAUGAUCCUUUCCUUCAUCUUCAAAUAGCUUCUCUGUUUCAUAGCACAUGGAAUAUGUAUUAAGCUGUCUACUUUUGUUUGUGUUUGACGUGGCACACUGAUUUGAUUUUCCAGUUCAUAUCGCUAAUAUAGAAAUUAUCCCAUCCAGGCUCAUCCAAUAUAUGUGUGGUCUAUUUUGAUGUUGCUUUGGAAAUAAACAAUGCAUUUACCCUAUUUCUGGUGAGAUU
Molecule: long non-coding RNA, 783 nt
Filed under: Felis catus (domestic cat)
Lineage: Eukaryota; Metazoa; Chordata; Mammalia; Carnivora; Felidae
Description: lncRNA (ENSFCAG00000045867.2)
Source: RNAcentral